Molecule: ribosomal RNA, 252 nt
Filed under: uncultured bacterium
Lineage: Bacteria
Description: partial 16S ribosomal RNA
Rfam family: Bacterial small subunit ribosomal RNA
Source: RNAcentral
UACGUAGGGUGCGAGCGUUGUCCGGAAUUAUUGGGCGUAAAGAGCUCGUAGGCGGCUUGUCGCGUCGGAUGUGAAAGCCCGGGGCUUAACCCCGGUCUGCAUUCGAUACGGGCAGGCUAGAGUGUGGUAGGGGAGAUCGGAAUUCCUGGUGUAGCGGUGAAAUGCGCAGAUAUCAGGAGGAACACCGGUGGCGAAGGCGGAUCUCUGGGCCAUUACUGACGCUGAGGAGCGAAAGCGUGGGGAGCGAACAGG